This 31-nucleotide non-coding RNA is filed under the name Rattus norvegicus (Norway rat). Lineage: Eukaryota; Metazoa; Chordata; Mammalia; Rodentia; Muridae. The record is from RNAcentral.
UCCUCAUAUUUUAACCCCCACCAAAGGCCUU